CAUCACUACGCUAGAUGCAUAUCAAUAAGCGGAGGAAAAGAAACUAACAAGGAUUCCCCUAGUAACGGCGAGUGAAGCGGGAAGAGCUCAAAUUUGAAAUCUUAAAGGGUUUCCCUUUACGAAUUGUAGUUUAAAGAAGUGUUUUCUGUUGGAGUUUCGGUAAAAGUUCUUUGGAAUAGGACAUCAUAGAGGGUGAGAAUCCCGUAUUUGACCGUUACUUUCUAGCUGUGUGAUACACUUUCAACGAGUCGGAUUGUUUGGGAAUGCAGUCCGAAAUGGGUGGUAAAUUUCAUCUAAAGCUAAAUAUUGGCGAGAGACCGAUAGCGAACAAGUACCGUGAGGGAAAGAUGAAAAGAACUUUGAAAAGAGAGUUAAACAGUACGUGAAAUUGUCAAAAGGGAAGCGUUUGACACCAGUGUUGUUUAGUUGAAAAUCAAUUCAAUAAUUUUUGAUUUUGAGUAGUAUUGACUUCAUCAGCUUGCUGCUUUCUUUUCAGGAAAUUAUUGAAUGCACUUUUCAGUUAACAAGUCAGCAUCAAUUUCUUUUGUUGUAAAAGGGUAAGAGGAAGGUGGCUUACGCUUCGGCGUAAGUGUUUAUAGCCUUUUACCUCUGCAAUCGGAGAGAUUGAGGACAGCAGCGUAGACUCUUCGGGGUUAGAUACACUUGUGCUAAGCUAUAGCCUUGUAUAGACAACUUGUUGACUAUGCUCAGUUAUGUAGCUUUACUCGCUUGAUGCUAUUUUACCUACGCUUAGGAUGUUGACACACGCGCGUGCUCG
This 778-nucleotide ribosomal RNA is filed under the name uncultured Neocallimastigales. Its description in RNAcentral is "partial large subunit ribosomal RNA". It matches the Rfam family "Eukaryotic large subunit ribosomal RNA", at positions 20 to 605 of the family's 3401-position model. Lineage: Eukaryota; Fungi; Neocallimastigomycota; Neocallimastigomycetes; Neocallimastigales. The record is from RNAcentral.